AUUGAACGCUGGCGGAAUGCUUUACACAUGCAAGUCGAACGGUAGAGGGGGCAACCCCUCGAGAGUGGCGAACGGGUGAGUAAUAUAUCGGAACGUGCCCAGUCGUGGGGGAUAACGUAGCGAAAGUUACGCUAAUACCGCAUACGAUCUAAGGAUGAAAGCGGGGGAUCGCAAGACCUCGCGCGAUUGGAGCGGCCGAUAUCAGAUUGGGUAGUUGGUGGGGUAAAGGCUCACCAAGCCAACGAUCUGUAGCUGGUCUGAGAGGACGACCAGCCACAUUGGAACUGAGACACGGUCCAGACUCCUACGGGAGGCAGCAGUGGGGAAUUUUGGACAAUGGACGCAAGUCUGAUCCAGCCAUUCCGCGUGCAGGAUGAAGGCCCUCGGGUUGUAAACUGCUUUUGUACGGAACGAAAAGGUCUCUCUUAAUACGGGGGGCUCAUGACGGUACCGUAAGAAUAAGCACCGGCUAACUACGUGCCAGCAGCCGCCGUAA
RNAcentral lists this ribosomal RNA (496 nucleotides) under uncultured bacterium. Its description in RNAcentral is "partial 16S ribosomal RNA". It matches the Rfam family "Bacterial small subunit ribosomal RNA", at positions 30 to 523 of the family's 1533-position model. The record is from RNAcentral.